Molecule: unclassified non-coding RNA, 611 nt
Filed under: Hevea brasiliensis (rubber tree)
Lineage: Eukaryota; Viridiplantae; Streptophyta; Magnoliopsida; Malpighiales; Euphorbiaceae
Source: RNAcentral
AAAAAAAUAGAUAUUCCAAAUGGUCGGGUUGGUGUUAUCAUUGGGAAAGGUGGAGAGACAAUUAAAUAUCUGCAGAUUCAGUCUGGAGCAAAGAUUCAGGUUACUCGAGAUAUGGAUGCAGAUCCCAAUUCACCAACUAGGAUGGUGGAGCUCAUGGGUACUCCUGAACAAAUUGCAAAGGCAGAACAGUUGAUAAAUGAAGUUCUUGCAGAGGCUGAAGCAGGAGGUUCUGGCACUGUUUCCAAAAGGUUUACUGGACAAGGUGGUUCUGAACAUUUUGCAAUGAAAAUUCCUAAUAACAAGGUUGGUCUGGUAAUUGGCAAAGGAGGUGACACAAUCAAGAACAUGCAAGCGAGGACUGGAGCUCGUAUUCAGGUGAUACCUUUGCAUUUACCCCCAGGUGAUACGUCAACAGAAAGGAGUGUGCAUAUAGAGGGGACUAGUGAACAGAUUGAACAUGCUAAGCAGUUGGUUAAUGAAGUUAUCAGUGAGAAUCGUGCAAGGAAUCAAUCAAUGGCUGGAGGUUACCCGCAGCAAGGAUAUCAAACACGACCACCUACAAGCUGGGGCCCACCUGGAGCUCCUCCAAUGCAGCAACCUGGUUAUGGCUA